GAGAAAAAUAAGGCAGUUUCUGGGUACCGGUGCACCCCAGGCUGGCUUCUUCCUUUACCCCAUGACAGCUCUCACACUUGGCCAGGCGCUGUGGCUCAUGCCUGUAAUCCCAGCGCUGUGGGAGGAUUAGACUGGGGAAAUUAGACUAAGGAAUUCACCGGUGGCAACCCAACCUGUGACCAAGCUAAGCCUCCUGUCUGAGCCACACACAGCUCCUACUCUAAAGAGAAGGCGGCUUUUGGCUUAUUAAAGAGCCUACCAUAUGCCAAGAGCUUUGCAGCACAUUUCAUCAAAUUCUCAGAGCACUACAGGAGCAGGUCCUAGUCUCAGCUCCAUUUUACAGGUGAGAGAACUUACUUCCUGAAGGUCAUGUGUUGAUCUAGAGGAGGAGCUGGGCUAAGACUUCAGUCUGUGUGGCUCCAUGAUGUUCUCCAUGGUCCCUGACACUGCUGGUGUAGACAGAAGUGGGAGUCAGGGAGUGCUGGUGGAUUUCCUUGCUGAUCGAUGCUGCCUUUAGAUAGCCAGGAUCUCGGGACUGUGGUGGCCUGUUGUCUGUGCACCCUCACCAGUACUGAGGACUUUAAGAGAUGGAACUAGAAAAAAGAAAAAAAAAGAGAUGGAACUGGGCUUUGGUUUGGAUGUUUGUGUCCCCAUGAAACUUUGUGUUGAAACUUAAUCCUCAGUCCAACAGUGUUAAGAGGUGUGGCCUUAAGAAGGUGAUUAGGUCAUGAGAGCUGUCUUCAUGGAUGGGAUUAGCAACCUUACAUAAGGGACGAAGGGAACUAGUUAGACCCUUUUGCCCUUCCGUCCCUUGCACCACGUGAGUACCCACUGUUCCUCCCCGCCAGAGGUUGCGUAAUUGGGCGCCAUCUUGGAGGCAGACCGCAGCCCUUACCGGACCGCUGAAACUGCUAGCACCCUGAUAGCCGGCAGCCCAACCUCCAGAACUAACAGCUUAAAAGUCACCUUGUCUGGGAAGCCCUCCUGGUUGGCUACAAUGGGUUUGAAUUCCCAUGUAACACACUUGGCAUGCUUUUCCUGCCAAGUACUGAUCAUAUGUGUAAGUGGUUAAAAAUUUGUAUUUACUUAGUAGAAGCCCUAUGUUCUGAUUGAGUUGGAGCUGGCAGUGGGCAGGUACCGGGACUUUAGAUAAAACCAGA
RNAcentral lists this long non-coding RNA (1160 nucleotides) under Callithrix jacchus (white-tufted-ear marmoset). RNAcentral's name for it is "lncRNA (ENSCJAG00000086012.1)". The record is from RNAcentral. Lineage: Eukaryota; Metazoa; Chordata; Mammalia; Primates; Cebidae.